AAAAUGUGCCAUUUCAUUUUGUGUCAGUUUGCAGCAUUAACCUCCACUAGAGUCGACCACUUCGCUUUAAAUCUUUAAGGACUGCCUCAAACAACAGGAAAUAUGGCACAUGACAUAGUCAGCCAAUUCAAGUCAGGUCACUCACAAUACUGAAACCACUCUCUUCACCAACAGCAUGAAAUCAUCUUUAAGCAAAAGUCUCCAACCACCAAAGGAGAGUUGACCUCUGCUGCAACAAGUAAUUAAUUUUAAUAUACAAUUAAAGUUGGUGCAAAUACUCCAUAAAGCGACAUAAAAGCUGAAACUUGCACAGCCAGCGGGAGGUCUGAAGCCUCAUGAAAUUGUCCUCAAACACUGACUGGACACAGCCAAAACCUGAACUAAUGCAUACUUCAUGCAAGCAGAAAGUAAACUCUUACCUUGUUGUUGCAGUGAUCAUGUGCGUCACAAAACGACCAUUUCAAAAGUCGCAGGAAGCCCCAAGCGGGAGACAGCAGGACGGAAAAAAAACACUUCAAGUUUGAGGUCCUCAGCUGAUAUGAACCCUUUCGGUAUGUAGCAUAACGUUAAAUACAAAAAAAAAAAUUCAUGGAGAAUGGCUGUGCAGCAAACAAAGAUCCUCAAAGGUCCUGAAGUCACAUGAUGGACAUGUUGACAGGACAAGGAUGUGAACAGAUUGCGGAGCUGCUGUGGAAAUUUCUCCUACUUUUUUCCCACUGCCCUGGAGGUCAGAUUCCAGGUUGAGGUACAGGACAGGUCCUCAACACUGCAGAGUUCAUUGUGGGCUAUCGUUCAUUGUACAGUUUCCUUUUCUAACUUAAUCAUUCAUUAAAGGUACUGGUUUUACAAUCAAAAUGCAUCUAAAAAGCCUUAAUUGUAACAACAUUUCAAUCAUAAUCACAAUCUAAAUAAUUAUUUUUAUUCAGUUAUAAUAAACAUACUAUCUUACCAACAAGGAAAGUGAAGAGUUCCCACCUAUAACAACUCCCAGUCCUUUUAAUUCUAUUGCGGCAUACCAAACAUAUGAAGACAUCUAAAACGCUCUCUCUCCACGUCUUAGUUGAACAGAUUAAUUUUGUCAUCUGUGACAUUCACAAGUCAUAUUGUGCAGUUUACUGAGCUCUUUGCAUGGCAGAUGUCUCAUGCAAUCCUGAUAUAAUCUGGCAUUAAGG
Long non-coding RNA from Micropterus salmoides (largemouth bass), 1172 nucleotides. RefSeq lists it as uncharacterized. The transcript has 3 exons. Lineage: Eukaryota; Metazoa; Chordata; Actinopteri; Centrarchiformes; Centrarchidae. The record is from RefSeq and is a predicted model, not a curated record.